This 2157-nucleotide ribosomal RNA is filed under the name Escherichia coli. RNAcentral's name for it is "partial 23S ribosomal RNA". It matches the Rfam family "Bacterial large subunit ribosomal RNA", at positions 711 to 2846 of the family's 2925-position model. The record is from RNAcentral. Lineage: Bacteria; Pseudomonadati; Pseudomonadota; Gammaproteobacteria; Enterobacterales; Enterobacteriaceae.
AGACCCGAAACCCGGUGAUCUAGCCAUGGGCAGGUUGAAGGUUGGGUAACACUAACUGGAGGACCGAACCGACUAAUGUUGAAAAAUUAGCGGAUGACUUGUGGCUGGGGGUGAAAGGCCAAUCAAACCGGGAGAUAGCUGGUUCUCCCCGAAAGCUAUUUAGGUAGCGCCUCGUGAAUUCAUCUCCGGGGGUAGAGCACUGUUUCGGCAAGGGGGUCAUCCCGACUUACCAACCCGAUGCAAACUGCGAAUACCGGAGAAUGUUAUCACGGGAGACACACGGCGGGUGCUAACGUCCGUCGUGAAGAGGGAAACAACCCAGACCGCCAGCUAAGGUCCCAAAGUCAUGGUUAAGUGGGAAACGAUGUGGGAAGGCCCAGACAGCCAGGAUGUUGGCUUAGAAGCAGCCAUCAUUUAAAGAAAGCGUAAUAGCUCACUGGUCGAGUCGGCCUGCGCGGAAGAUGUAACGGGGCUAAACCAUGCACCGAAGCUGCGGCAGCGACACUGUGUGUUGUUGGGUAGGGGAGCGUUCUGUAAGCCUGUGAAGGUGUGCUGUGAGGCAUGCUGGAGGUAUCAGAAGUGCGAAUGCUGACAUAAGUAACGAUAAAGCGGGUGAAAAGCCCGCUCGCCGGAAGACCAAGGGUUCCUGUCCAACGUUAAUCGGGGCAGGGUGAGUCGACCCCUAAGGCGAGGCCGAAAGGCGUAGUCGAUGGGAAACAGGUUAAUAUUCCUGUACUUGGUGUUACUGCGAAGGGGGGACGGAGAAGGCUAUGUUGGCCGGGCGACGGUUGUCCCGGUUUAAGCGUGUAGGCUGGUUUUCCAGGCAAAUCCGGAAAAUCAAGGCUGAGGCGUGAUGACGAGGCACUACGGUGCUGAAGCAACAAAUGCCCUGCUUCCAGGAAAAGCCUCUAAGCAUCAGGUAACAUCAAAUCGUACCCCAAACCGACACAGGUGGUCAGGUAGAGAAUACCAAGGCGCUUGAGAGAACUCGGGUGAAGGAACUAGGCAAAAUGGUGCCGUAACUUCGGGAGAAGGCACGCUGAUAUGUAGGUGAAGUCCCUCGCGGAUGGAGCUGAAAUCAGUCGAAGAUACCAGCUGGCUGCAACUGUUUAUUAAAAACACAGCACUGUGCAAACACGAAAGUGGACGUAUACGGUGUGACGCCUGCCCGGUGCCGGAAGGUUAAUUGAUGGGGUCAGCGCAAGCGAAGCUCUUGAUCGAAGCCCCGGUAAACGGCGGCCGUAACUAUAACGGUCCUAAGGUAGCGAAAUUCCUUGUCGGGUAAGUUCCGACCUGCACGAAUGGCGUAAUGAUGGCCAGGCUGUCUCCACCCGAGACUCAGUGAAAUUGAACUCGCUGUGAAGAUGCAGUGUACCCGCGGCAAGACGGAAAGACCCCGUGAACCUUUACUAUAGCUUGACACUGAACAUUGAGCCUUGAUGUGUAGGAUAGGUGGGAGGCUUUGAAGUGUGGACGCCAGUCUGCAUGGAGCCGACCUUGAAAUACCACCCUUUAAUGUUUGAUGUUCUAACGUGGACCCGUGAUCCGGGUUGCGGACAGUGUCUGGUGGGUAGUUUGACUGGGGCGGUCUCCUCCUAAAGAGUAACGGAGGAGCACGAAGGUUGGCUAAUCCUGGUCGGACAUCAGGAGGUUAGUGCAAUGGCAUAAGCCAGCUUGACUGCGAGCGUGACGGCGCGAGCAGGUGCGAAAGCAGGUCAUAGUGAUCCGGUGGUUCUGAAUGGAAGGGCCAUCGCUCAACGGAUAAAAGGUACUCCGGGGAUAACAGGCUGAUACCGCCCAAGAGUUCAUAUCGACGGCGGUGUUUGGCACCUCGAUGUCGGCUCAUCACAUCCUGGGGCUGAAGUAGGUCCCAAGGGUAUGGCUGUUCGCCAUUUAAAGUGGUACGCGAGCUGGGUUUAGAACGUCGUGAGACAGUUCGGUCCCUAUCUGCCGUGGGCGCUGGAGAACUGAGGGGGGCUGCUCCUAGUACGAGAGGACCGGAGUGGACGCAUCACUGGUGUUCGGGUUGUCAUGCCAAUGGCACUGCCCGGUAGCUAAAUGCGGAAGAGAUAAGUGCUGAAAGCAUCUAAGCACGAAACUUGCCCCGAGAUGAGUUCUCCCUGACCCUUUAAGGGUCCUGAAGGAACGUUGAAGACG